This 396-nucleotide ribosomal RNA is filed under the name uncultured bacterium. Its description in RNAcentral is "bacterial SSU rRNA". It matches the Rfam family "Bacterial small subunit ribosomal RNA", at positions 357 to 770 of the family's 1533-position model. The record is from RNAcentral.
GGGAAUAUUGCACAAUGGGGGAAACCCUGAUGCAGCGACGCCGCGUGAGUGAAGAAGCGCCUCGGCGCGUAAAGCCCUGUCAGCAGGAACGAUAAUGACGGUACCUGAAGAAGAAGCCCCGGCUAACUACGUGCCAGCAGCCGCGGUAAUACGUAGGGGGCAAGCGUUAUCCGGAUUUACUGGGUGUAAAGGGAGCGUAGACGGCGAUGCAAGUCUGAAGUGAAAGGCGGGGGCCCAACCCCCGGACUGCUUUGGAAACUGUAUGGCUGGAGUGCAGGAGAGGUAAGUGGAAUUCCUAGUGUAGCGGUGAAAUGCGUAGAUAUUAGGAGGAACACCAGUGGCGAAGGCGGCUUACUGGACUGUAACUGACGUUGAGGCUCGAAAGCGUGGGGAGCA